RNAcentral lists this ribosomal RNA (1363 nucleotides) under uncultured bacterium. RNAcentral describes it as "bacterial SSU rRNA". It matches the Rfam family "Bacterial small subunit ribosomal RNA", at positions 28 to 1381 of the family's 1533-position model. The record is from RNAcentral.
AUUGAACGCUGGCGGCAGGCCUAACACAUGCAAGUCGAACGGUAACAGGAAGAAGCUUGCUUCUUUGCUGACGAGUGGCGGACGGGUGAGUAAUGUCUGGGAAACUGCCUGAUGGAGGGGGAUAACUACUGGAAACGGUAGCUAAUACCGCAUAACGUCGCAAGACCAAAGAGGGGGACCUUCGGGCCUCUUGCCAUCGGAUGUGCCCAGAUGGGAUUAGCUAGUAGGUGGGGUAACGGCUCACCUAGGCGACGAUCCCUAGCUGGUCUGAGAGGAUGACCAGCCACACUGGAACUGAGACACGGUCCAGACUCCUACGGGAGGCAGCAGUGGGGAAUAUUGCACAAUGGGCGCAAGCCUGAUGCAGCCAUGCCGCGUGUAUGAAGAAGGCCUUCGGGUUGUAAAGUACUUUCAGCGGGGAGGAAGGGAGUAAAGUUAAUACCUUUGCUCAUUGACGUUACCCGCAGAAGAAGCACCGGCUAACUCCGUGCCAGCAGCCGCGGUAAUACGGAGGGUGCAAGCGUUAAUCGGAAUUACUGGGCGUAAAGCGCACGCAGGCGGUUUGUUAAGUCAGAUGUGAAAUCCCCGGGCUCAACCUGGGAACUGCAUCUGAUACUGGCAAGCUUGAGUCUCGUAGAGGGGGGUAGAAUUCCAGGUGUAGCGGUGAAAUGCGUAGAGAUCUGGAGGAAUACCGGUGGCGAAGGCGGCCCCCUGGACGAAGACUGACGCUCAGGUGCGAAAGCGUGGGGAGCAAACAGGAUUAGAUACCCUGGUAGUCCACGCCGUAAACGAUGUCGACUUGGAGGUUGUGCCCUUGAGGCGUGGCUUCCGGAGCUAACGCGUUAAGUCGACCGCCUGGGGAGUACGGCCGCAAGGUUAAAACUCAAAUGAAUUGACGGGGGCCCGCACAAGCGGUGGAGCAUGUGGUUUAAUUCGAUGCAACGCGAAGAACCUUACCUGGUCUUGACAUCCACAGAACUUUCCAGAGAUGGAUUGGUGCCUUCGGGAACUGUGAGACAGGUGCUGCAUGGCUGUCGUCAGCUCGUGUUGUGAAAUGUUGGGUUAAGUCCCGCAACGAGCGCAACCCUUAUCUUUUGUUGCCAGCGGUCCGGCCGGGAACUCAAAGGAGACUGCCAGUGAUAAACUGGAGGAAGGUGGGGAUGACGUCAAGUCAUCAUGACCCUUACGACCAGGGCUACACACGUGCUACAAUGGCGCAUACAAAGAGAAGCGACCUCGCGAGAGCAAGCGGACCUCAUAAAGUGCGUCGUAGUCCGGAUUGGAGUCCGCAACUCGACUCCAUGAAGUCGGAAUCGCUAGUAAUCGUGGAUCAGAAUGCCACGGUGAAUACGUUCCCGGGCAU